Molecule: long non-coding RNA, 2626 nt
Filed under: Sus scrofa (pig)
Lineage: Eukaryota; Metazoa; Chordata; Mammalia; Artiodactyla; Suidae
Description: lncRNA (ENSSSCG00000062486.1)
Source: RNAcentral
GGCAUAUGGAAGUUCCCGGGCUAGGGGUUGAAUCAGAGAUGCAGCUGCCGGCCUACACCACAGCCACAGCAAUGUGGGAUCUGACCUACAUCUGUGACCUAUACCACAGCUUGUGGCAAUACUGGAUCCCACUAACCCACUGAGUGAGGUCAGGGAAAGAACCUGCAUCCUCAUGGAUACCAGUUAGGUUCUUAACCCACUGAACCACAAUGAGAACUCCUGCCUUCACUUUAAAAUGGUAAACAAAACAAGACAAAACAAAACCCUUCCCAAGAAGAAAGUUUAGAAGUCCUUGUUCUAGUAUGUAAAGUAGUGUAACCAUAUUUUUUUCACCUUAACUGUGAACUGAAUACAAGAGACGAAAGAAUGAUUAGCUGAUUAUAGCUAUAGGAAAGGCAAGGAAGCACAUAAGUCAUGUCUCUAGUACCAAGGGUCAGAAAAGUGGAGGCAAAGGGGAGAGGUUAAAAACAAAACAAAACACCCAAGUCUUCCAUCUGGAUGCAGAGCAGAGGUGCUGGGAAUGGAAGCUUGUCAAAGGCAAGGAAGGCUGAUUCAAUUUUAGAGAACUUAAUAUGGAUGGAAGAAGUGAGUCAACAAUUGAGAACUGUUAUAAACCAGGUGAGAGAGCUGCUCAGGAUAUGGUUGGAACCGAAGGUCAAGAUGCAGGAAAGGGCUAGUCUAGAGGUGCAUACAUGAUGGUUUUCUUCAGGAGAAGCUUCAGGCUUUCCAUAUUCUUCAAUGUGACACACAGAACCAAACUGAUUAUUUUUCAAGUAUUUUCUGCCUAGGGCCCAGCACAGUGGGCAUAAGUCUGUGAUAUGAAGACUGUGUCCAUUAAUGCCAACUGUGAGCAAGACAGGUUUCUAGCAGCUACAUCCUGCAAUAGACUUAUAUUUAAAUUUGCAGCCAAAUAAAACCCUCAGAGUUCUUUUAUUUAUUUAUUUAUUUAUUUAUUUAUUUAUUUAUUUAUUUAUUUCAUGACUUUAUGUUUAUUCCAGUUAUAUUUAAUCUUUUUGGUGUGGAUCCAGCAAUACAGACUGCCAAAAAUUCAGAUUGCUAAAUAAGGGAUACCAAUUGGUUAUUUUCUAUCCUCCCUGGAGAAACUAAGGAACUUCAAGUUAAAAAAUGCAUCCUGAGGAAUUUGAGUAAGAUAUAAAGAAUUUCCUAAUGGGAAGAUCAGAGAAGCUGGAAUAGAUAUAGGGAAAUUUGGGGGGGGGUUCUACUUUAUAAAAAAAAAAUCAAGACUGCUUUUUUAAAAAAAUUAUAAUGUUUCAUCUUCCUAAAAAGGCUUAAAACACAGCCCUUUAAGUAAACUUCUAUCCCUGCUUCAAGGAGAACUGGUCAAGCUUUCUUUGUGCCCCACAUGCACCUUGUUUUAACAUAGAUCAUAAUACUGGGAAGAUGCAUUGCCCUUCUUUGCUUAUUUGUCCUCUUCUUAUAAUAGACCGUAAAGCCCUUGAGGAUAAGAAUCAUAAUCAUAUCUCUUUUGCCCUUAUAUCCCAGAUAUAAGGCUUUAUAUGGAUUUAAAUGGGCAUUUAUCUGGAUUUAAAUGGACAUUAAACAGAUUUUUAAUGGUUAACUUAAUAAAUCACUGAAUGUAGGAAAAGGGUUUCAGCUAUUUCAUCAACACACCUUCAGCAUCUGUUAUAUUCCAGGUAGAGCUAGAAAUCCACAGGACCAAGGCCACUGUUUUGGCCUCUUCAGGGACAAUGAGAGAAAGGGGAUUAGACCAGGUGAUCUAUGAAGAUGACCUUGAGUGUUGUGGAUCUUUCAUAUCCAUAAUGUUAGAUCCAAGACCAUUUACAUACAAAUAUUACAACCUGCCUCAGAGAGAAAUCUAAUUUAGCAGAUUUUAAAAAUACUUAAAACGUGGGUUUUCACAUAAAAAUAAAAGAUCUUACCAUUUUACGUUGAUCCCUAAGGCAUUUUAUGGCAUUUGUAAAUAAGUGGUCUUAUUUCUAAAGUUAUAAGGAGACAUAUAAUACUUCAAAUGCAAAGUCAAAAAUACAUAGUUUUACGUAAUUUUCAUGCACUAAUACAUGGUUUUUUUCACAAACAGUGCUUACAUUUAGCAUCUUGAAUCAUCUUUGGCAGAGUGAUGUCUACAGAUGUAGGAAGCUAUUUUCACUUGGUUGAGUGACUUAGUAGGUAUUAAAAUCAGUUCCUCACUGGAGUUCCUGUUGUGGCUCAGUGGUUAACGAAUCUGACUAGUAACCAUGAGGUUGCAGGUUCGACCCCUGGCCUUGCUCAGUGGGUUAAGGAUCUGGCAUUGCCAUGAGCUAUGGUGUGGGUCACAGAUAUGGCUCGGAUCUGGUGUUGCUGUGGCUCUGGUGUAGGAUGGCGUCUACAGCUCCAAUUAGACCCCUAGCCUGGGAACCUCCAUAUGCCCCAGGAAGUGGCCUUAGAAAAGGCAAAAAGACAAAAAAUAAAAAUAAAAUAAAAUCAGUUCCUCAUUUUCUCAUUUAUAAAGAUGUUUCAGUAACUCAUGGAGGUAAUAGUUUUGCUUUCUUGGAAGUUCAAGAUAGAUUUAUAAACUAACUGCCUUUUCUACAAAGUAGUCUGGAUGCUUGUGAACUAUCAUAUACAUGUGCACAUGCUCAUUCCACUGCUCUGAAUAUCUAAAGAU